AGAGAGAGACAUGCGCGCAUAUCAAUAAGCGGAGGAAAAGUAACUAACUAGGAUUCCCUCAGUAACGGCGAGUGAAGCGGGAAGAGCUCAAAUUUGAAAUCUUCAAGGUUCUACCUUGACGAAUUGUAGUUUAAAGAAGUGUUUUCUGUUGGAGUUUUGGUAAAAGUUCUUUGGAAUAGGACAUCAUAGAGGGUGAGAAUCCCGUAUUUGACCAUUAUUUCCAGCUUUGUGAUACACUUUCAAAGAGUCGGAUUGUUUGGGAAUGCAGUCCAAAAUGGGUGGUAAAUUUCAUCUAAAGCUAAAUAUUGGCGAGAGACCGAUAGCGAACAAGUACCGUGAGGGAAAGAUGAAAAGAACUUUGAAAAGAGAGUUAAACAGUACGUGAAAUUGUCAAAAGGGAAGCGUUUGACACCAGUGUUGUUUUUCUCGAAAAUCAAUUAAAGAACUGUUUAUGCUAAGCUGUUUAGACUUUAUCAGCUAUCUGUUUAGUUUUGAGCUUUUCUUUAAUGCACUUUUCAGUUAACAAGUCAACAUCAAUUUCUUUUGUUGUAAAAAAGCUUGAGGAAGGUGGCUUGAGAUUCGUCUUAAGUGUUUAUAGCCUCUUGCCUAUGCAGUCGGAGAGAUUGAGGUCUGCAGCGUAGAUCCUUCGGGGCUAAAUGCAUUUGUGCUAAGUUAUAGCAUUUUAUAGACAACUUGUUGACUAUGAUUUGUCUUGUAGCUUACUCGCUUAUGCUAUUUUACCUACGCUUAGGAUGUUGAUGUGAUACUGCGAGCA
This 775-nucleotide ribosomal RNA is filed under the name uncultured Neocallimastigales. RNAcentral describes it as "partial large subunit ribosomal RNA". It matches the Rfam family "Eukaryotic large subunit ribosomal RNA", at positions 23 to 646 of the family's 3401-position model. The record is from RNAcentral. Lineage: Eukaryota; Fungi; Neocallimastigomycota; Neocallimastigomycetes; Neocallimastigales.